This 438-nucleotide ribosomal RNA is filed under the name uncultured bacterium. RNAcentral describes it as "bacterial SSU rRNA". It matches the Rfam family "Bacterial small subunit ribosomal RNA", at positions 51 to 507 of the family's 1533-position model. The record is from RNAcentral.
AAGCACUCAUGACAGAUUCUUCGGAUGAUGGAUUGAUUGACUGAGUGGCGGACGGGUGAGUAACGCGUGGGUAACCUGCCUCAUACAGGGGGAUAACAGUUAGAAAUGACUGCUAAUACCGCAUAAGCGCACAGUACCGCAUGGUACGGUGUGAAAAACUCCGGUGGUAUGAGAUGGACCCGCGUCUGAUUAGCUAGUUGGUGGGGUAACGGCCUACCAAGGCGACGAUCAGUAGCCGGCCUGAGAGGGUGAACGGCCACAUUGGGACUGAGACACGGCCCAAACUCCUACGGGAGGCAGCAGUGGGGAAUAUUGCACAAUGGGGGAAACCCUGAUGCAGCGACGCCGCGUGAGCGAUGAAGUAUUUCGGUAUGUAAAGCUCUAUCAGCAGGGAAGAAAAUGACGGUACCUGACUAAGAAGCACCGGCUAAAUACGUG